RNAcentral lists this long non-coding RNA (36097 nucleotides) under Gossypium raimondii (Peruvian cotton). RNAcentral's name for it is "long non-coding RNA (GRAI_LNC003407)". Lineage: Eukaryota; Viridiplantae; Streptophyta; Magnoliopsida; Malvales; Malvaceae. The record is from RNAcentral.
CAACAGGUGUCCUCCAAAGAACAGUUACAAGAGAAAUUCAGUUGGGAAAGCUACUCUUGCCUGCUAAUAUAGAUAUUCUGCCUUUAAAUAUUGGACUUCAUCGUGACCCUCACUUUUGGGGAAAUGAUGUGCAUCAUUUUAAACCUAAGAGAUUCGCUGAAGGGAUUGCCAAAGCUACCAAUUACACCGCGGCUGCCUUUUUCCCCUUCGGAUUAGGACCUCGAUCUUGUGUUAGUAUGACAUUUGCAAUGAUAGAAACCAAGAUUGCUCUCUCCAUGAUUCUACAACGCUACACCAUUAUCCUUUCCCCUGCUUAUGUCCACUCUUCAAUACUUAUUCUCAACUUUCAACCCCAAAAUGGAAUUCAAGUAAUACUUGAGCCGAAUACAUAGUAAUGCUUGAAGUACAUAGCCGUUAAGAACUAGAGGUUUAACAUGGUUCAUGUAUUUUACUUUUAAGAGAUGAUAUUUAAUAUGUUUAAAGGUUCUAGCAUUCAUCAUUAAAGACAAACGACUUGUGGCCAUGUUUACUUUUUAUCUAUCAUGCAAUGUCGAUAAGAAGAUAUCAUUUACCUUUUAGUUGGGUUAUGAAUUCUACUAUUGUGAAUGAUGUUACAUACUAUACAAGUUCUAUACCCAAUGCACCAACUUUCGGUUCUUUAUCUAUUUGAACUUAGCCUUUUACUUGCAUCAAAGUAUACGAGUCAUGCUUGUAUAGUCCACCAUCCACUCAAGAUUAAGGUAUAUCACACAAUGAACAUCACAAGUAAAUAGAUCCAUAAAUGGAUCUAGAAUCUAUUCUACUUGGGUCUUUUCUGAUGUAUUGUCAGUCCAGUCAAUCACAUCUAUGUCUUUAUCUUUUAGGAGUUAUCUGUUCCAUUUAAGACAAAGCAUCUCCACAAUUGGGUUUGAUAGACGACAUCUUAGUUUUUCAAUCGAUUUGCUCAAUUUUGAUUAGACUAAGGACAUAUUUAGGUUUAUAUACUAAUACAAGCUAUCUUUCCAUAUCAAGAUCUGACCACGUAAUACCGCUUAGUAUUAAUUUAAACAAUAGAUAACCAAUGAGCCAAUAUUUGCUUCCAUUUUGCUUUGUGUGCAAAAACAUUGAGGACAAUAUGCAAAGGGUAUUAAUGUAAUUAAUAGAUAUUAUUAAACCAAUUUGUUUGAAAAAUACAAUUAUAUAAAACGAAUAUAGUACACUUAGUGUACCAAAUCCAACAAUGGCCACUACAGCUAGCAUUGCCAUAAGCAACAUAACUUGACAUUUUUGGAGUUGAAAUCUUUUUAACAAAAUCAGUUGGGCAACGACUUAGAUGAUUUUGUGGACAUGUGUUGGCUCAUAUUUGAAGAUCCAUUUUGUGGAGCAAUCAAUCUGUUAAGAUUAAAUCAAUCUGAAUCAAGCAAAUCGGAUCACUUAUUUUGUGGAGAUUGGCUUGACUUAUUUUAAAAUUUAUUUUCGAAAUCUUUGAUUUAUUCUUAACUUUCAGGAUAUUUGUAAAAUUUGAUAACACUCUAGAAUAACGUAUUUUUAUGUAUUAAUUAUGUAUUUAUUUUGAAUAUGAUCCUGCUAAUUUGAGCUAUUUAUGAUAUUUUAUCUCAUAGGGACUAAAUUUGAGACAAAAGCAAAAUUAAGGGCCAAAAGUGUGAAUUUAGAGAUAAAAUGGGCCAAUGUGCGACACAAAUAAAAGUUGGUGCCAAAAGUGCAAGCAUGGAGGACACAAGGGUUGAAAUGCAAAAAAAAGAGAUUUUAUUCUAUCAAACUCUAUUUUAAUUAUAUUAGGAUAAUUAAUAUUAAGAUAAUUAUUAAGGAUUAUCUAAUUUUAGGAUUUUAUUUUAUUUAUCUUCAAUUAAAUGUAUUUAUCUUUUGGAGUUUAAGUAGGAUUAGACUAUCUCCCCUAGCACUAUAAAUAGGGGUAAAGUAACUCAAAAAUGAUGUAAACACUCUCUCCCCCAAAAGUCUAGGCUUUUGUUCUCCUCAUAUUUCCUUUCAAUAAAAUCUCUAUUUUUAUUUUAUUUAUUUUCUUUUUCACCACAACCAUGAGCCACUAAACUCAUCUAGCUGAAAGUUGUCGAUAUUUUCCAAAAAGGGUUCUCGAGGCCUAGAGUCCGUACUUAGCCUCCUCGCUGAGUAUUCAUUGUUUCUCUGCACUACGGGGCUGACGCUUCCGUCCAUGUCCCUUAAGAAGUAAGAUUUUCAAUGUAUGCAAAGGCGACUGCUUUGUAUGUUUUAGGAAGAUUGCAUAGUCAAUUCGUUAACUUACUGCGUUAGAGGUUAGUGAGCCCAAGAGACAAAAUGGCAUGGGAUUCACCAUUGAGAAUCGCUGAUCUAGCAUAAGACGAUCCCAUAGAAGCAAUUGUUGGCUAGAGUCAGGUUUCACUAAAUCGUAAGUCUAAAUCCUUAGAGCUGGUGGUCGUAGGCGUCCUCUUCCACUAUAACUGGCUUAUUCGGUUUAGGAAGGAUCAUCUAAAAGUUGAGGAUUGAACCCAAGGCGGAACGAGAAAGCUGGAGGUUAGAAUCUCCCAUAAGAAUUUUCUUUCUCUUAACUUUAUUUUUAAUUUCUCGAAUUUUUGAUUCAAUAUUCUUAAUUUUGUUUUUAUUUUAUUUUUCGUUUCCAGACCCAAACCUUUAAUUCUAUUUUUUUUAUUUUUUUUCCAGGAACGCAGGUUUUCUCGGGAAAGAUUCUGCCUGGGAUUUCACAAAAUAAGAUAUUGUGCAAAUCCAGUCCCUAAGGAUUUUACCUUACUUUCCUUUUACUAUUCUUUUUCAUUAUUUAUUAGGGAUAGGAUAUUUUUUGUGCUUUCAACAACCGCAUUAGUAAAGUUUUUUUUACGAGGCUAUUUUUUGUGGGAUAUUGAUUCGAAUUGAUCUUUAUCUUUGCAAACAUUAAAUUCUUAUAUAUUAGAGGCUUGUGUAAGUUAAAAUAAGAUAGAGUUUCUAUUGCACUUAUUUUUUUCAUUGAGGAACUUGUAAUUGAUAGUGCAUUAAGAGUGUAAAAUAAGUUUGUUGCUUGGUUUUACAGCCAAAAUUCUCAAGGGAAGAACUUAGUGGUGAAUGAUUUAGAUAUUUAGAUACAAAAGUGAGGUUGCUAUACCGAGUUGUGAUAGGACUUAAAUAACUUGUUGUCUUGGGAUUAAAAAUAAUGGAUUUACUCAUUAAGUUAGGUUCCAUAGACAUAGAAAAAUCGAUAUGCAUAAACAAUCAUUUGUGUUCUAUUUUUUGUUGUUGUGUUCAUCAUAGUGGCAUCAAAGGUUGCCAUUACAACCAUCACUUUGUCAUCAAUUACUCACUUUAUUUUUUUAAGCAAUUAUCAACUACAUGCGCCAAGAGAAUGCUUGUUUCCAGUACUAUUGAUCAAAAUUUUGUAGGAAGCAUAAUGACAAAAAAGGAAAUGAUUACAAUCAACCCCUUAUGUAACAAUUCCAUUUGUAUGUUUGCAUGUUAUAAAAUGGUGGUUGUUAUAUACUACAACAUGUUGUUAUAAAAAGAUAAUUAUUGUAAACCUAAAAUAGAAUUUACAUUGCGAAUUACUAUCAUAUAAAGAAGGUGGGAAUUAUAUUAAAAAAGGAAAGUAGAAACCAAUUCAACAAAAUUAAAAGAUGUAUAAUAGGUGCAUGCAUUAUUACCUUUAUAUUUUAUUUUACAUUUUUCACAUGAUUAAUCGAUAUGAGUUUAAAUUAAAUUAAUUAAUUUAUCAUGUGUCAUUAAAUUCAAGUAAUUAAUUUAUAAGAUUAUGAUGUUCCAAAUUUAUAGUAGAAUAUUUAAUUAGAGAACUUAAUAGUUUAUUGAAUUGAUAUCUUUAAUUCCACUCAUUGAAGAUUUUGUCAUGUGAAAUUUAAACAUUUUAUUAAAAUAAUAUUUUAUGAUUGUUUAUGAUAAACUUAGGAUUUUUAAUAGUGUUUAUAUAUGUAUUAUGUUAAGAUACAUAAUGAUAAAACUAGAGUUUGUGGUAUGUUUUGAGAUGAUAGGCUUCACGAUUAUGUGAUUUAUUGUCCUUAGCUAAUUCAAAUAUAGAUUAAUGAGGUUGGUUUAAUAUAUGUUGUAGGGAACAACGAAAAUGGGAAAAAAUUAAAUAUUACCCUAAAACAAAUUGAUAAUUAAUAUAGUUAAAUUAAAUCCAUUUUGUUUUGGCAAAUGAAAAUCAUUGGUUUAAAAGGUUUGAGAAUUGAGGAACCUUUGCAAAACAUAAUGCGAUAUCAUCACUGUUUAUAGGAGCUGAGUAUAAAUAUUCUCUUUUCAUGUCUUUGUUGUUGGGUUUUUAGGUCUUUUUGUGACAAUUAUCAUUCCUCUCAUUUCAAUAUUUAUGAUAAUAAUACCUGUAAAGCACGUUGGUCAUGUCUUAUUUUUACUAUUUAUGUAAACAUGAUUCCCGUAUAAACUAUACUAAAAUUCGUAUUAUUGUAGUACUUAUUAUUAAAGUUUCAGUCCUGUGACAAUUGGUAUUGGACUGAGAUUUGAAGCUACCAGUUGAGAUGACAAAAGGAGUAGAAGAGCAGAUUGAACCCAGAGAGACCAUGGGAGGGGCAGGAGCUAUUUAUAUAUUUUUGAGAUGUUGAUAUCUUCCAGAGCCAUUUAUGACCACACACGAUAAUGGGUAAGAUAGGGUCCUACCUGACUUAUGGUUUAUCUGUUUUGAAGGGGGAAAUGGUUUUGUUUUAGAGAAGAAAAAUGAAUGCGUUGAUGAAACUUCUAAUUCUUGCUCCAUGUUUCUUCUUCAUAGCUUUAAUAAAGUUACUUUACGAUUACCUAUGGAUACCUCUCCGUAUUCAGCAUAUGCUGAAUUCACAGGGGAUCAAAGGACCUCCUUACAGAUUCAUCCAUGGCAACAACAAGGAAGUUACCAAAAUGAAACAAAAAGCUUUAAGCAAAUCUGUGGGCUUGACAGAUGAUCUAUUUCCCAGAGUACAUCCACAUUUUUACACCUGGACCAACAGAUAUGGUAAGAUCCAUGCCUGUUCUUUCACUAUGAUUUAUAACUUGUAGUUCUAAGAAAAGGUAGACCCUUUUUCUUUUCAUGUUAUUAGGGAAGAAUUUUGUUUAUUGGAACGGUGCUCGAGCUGAAUUGGUGAUUUCAGAGCCUGAAUUAAUCAAAGAAGUUCUGAAAAAUAGUGAACAAAUUUUUCAGAAAAAGCAGCUUUCAGAUAUCGGUAUGAAGUUCUUGGGGAAUGGACUUAUAUUCAUUGAGGGGGAAAAAUGGGCAAAGCAUCGAAAGCUAGCCAAUCACACUUUCCAUGGGGAAAGCCUAAAGGUAAGUCUUCCAAAUAUAUAAACUAGAUGUAAUUAAUUUACAAGAAUUAUACAUAGACUACAAUAUUUUGGUAAAAUUUUGCAUUCUUAGCUAAUUUAUUAUCGAAGUUGAAAAGAUUCGUGAAAAGUAAUUUUGAAAAAUUUGACAGCAUUUACCACUUAAGAUAUCAAUUUUAGAUUUAAUGUUGUAAAGUAAAAAAUAAUUCAGAGAUUUAAAAAAGAAGUCAUUUCAUUGAAAAACACUAUUUUAACUUUUUGACUUAGAUUAAAAUCUAAUUUGAAAUAAAGUUUAGUUUGAAAUUUUGUUUGUUUGCGAAUUUUUCUAAGUUGAAAUCAUGAUUUUGUGUUGAAAAGUGUUUUUCAGACUCCAAUUAUAUAUGUCACUACUACUUACAUAUUGGAGGAUUGUUUCCGCAGAACAUGACUCCAGCAAUAAUUGCUAGUGUUGAAACAAUGCUAGAAAAGUGGAAUGGCCAAGAAGGAAAAGAGAUUGAAGUGUACCAAGAAUUUAGGUUAUUAACUUCAGAAGUGAUUUCCAGAACAGCAUUUGGUAGCAAUUACAUGGAAGGGGAGAAGAUAUUUGCCAUCUUGAGAAAGUUGACAGUAAUUAUGAGUCGAAAUCUUUCCAAGACUAGAAUUCCUUUGAUCAGGUAUCUUCCCUCUACGCUUAAUUAAUCCCAACUUUUACCUUGAUUUCAACUAGCUUUUGAAUGCAACUUUUAGACUUUCAUUCCCCAUUGAUUUGGUUUUCUCCUUAUAUAUAGCUGACCCUGGUUUGCUUUUGCAGCAAGUUGUGGAAAUCUGCUGAUUUGCUAGAGGCUGAAAAACUUUCAAAAGAAAUAAAAGAUCGUGUGAUGAAGAUUGUUAAGAAAAGAGAAGACAAAGUUGUGAAUGAAGAAGUCAAUAGCUUUGGCAGUGAUUUUCUUGGAUUACUUCUAAAUGCCUAUCAUGAUUCGGAUGCGAAAAACAGGCUUUCCUUGGAAGACGUGGUAGCUGAAUGCAAAACAUUCUAUUUUGCUGGACAAGAAACUGUUAAUUCCUUACUUGCAUGGAUAGUCUUGCAUUUGGCAAUCCACGGAGAUUGGCAAGAAAAAGCGAGAAGAGAGGUGAUUGACAUAUUUGGUAACCAAAAUCCACAUCUCGAAGGCAUCGCGAAACUCAAAAUAGUAAGAAAACUAUCUAACUGGGAAUUCAAAUAGCCAUCAACAUUAUGCAAUCUAACAUAUUUGUCUAUUUCCUAAACAGAUGACCAUGAUCAUCAAUGAAACUCUAAGAUUGUAUGGUCCAUCAAAUGGCCUGGCAAGAGCAGUUACAAGAGAAGUUCAGUUGGGAAAACUACUCUUGCCUGCUAAUAUAGAUAUUCUGCCUUUAAAUAUUGGACUUCACCGUGACCCUCACUUUUGGGGAGAUGAUGUGCAUCAUUUUAAACCCGAGAGAUUCGCUGAAGGGAUUGCCAAAGCUACCAAUUACACCACGGCUGCAUUUUUUCCCUUCGGGUUGGGACCUCGAUCUUGUGUUGGUAUGACAUUUGCAACAAUAGAAACAAAGGUUGCUCUCUCCAUGAUUCUACAACGUUACACAAUUACCCUCUCCCCUGCCUAUGUCCACUCUCCAAUACCUAUUCUCACCCUUCGACCACAACAUGGAAUUCAGGUAAUACUUGAGCCGAUACAUAGUAAUGCUUGAAGUACAUAGCUGCUAAGAAAUAAGGGUUUAACAUGGUUCAUGUAUUUUAGUUUUAAAAGAUGACAUUUAAUAUGUAUAAGGUUCUAGCAUUUGCAACCCCUUCCCUCCUAUGGUGUGCCCACCUUCAUACAUAAUGAAAUGCAAGUAGCUACUUAUUUCCAAGAUGCUAAAACACACAAUCAAUAAAGAAGAAUAUGUCGAGGCAAGUUUUGGGAGCAGUGACUCGAGAAAUGACAACUGCGUUUGGCACGCGCAGGUCACAUAACUUUUAGCAUGUUUGAAAAAAAAUAUUUUGAUUACUUGCUUGCAUCUUUUUUAGGAUUUUGUGCAUCCAAUCUUGUGUUUAUUAUUUAAUUAAUCUCAGAUUGAUUUUUCUUAAACUAGUGGUUAUACUAAGGCUUGUUAGCGGAUUAAACUUUGUGCAAAACACUAUAGAUGUAGAUGUGUUUCCCGUGAUGGGAUUUGUAUCUACUAAAAAUAAAUUCCUACACUUGAAACCAAAAUUAAAUUUGUAGUAUAUAGAGUAGGGUUGAUCCCACAAAGGUUGAUCUAUCCAAAUUUCUAUUUCUUUAUAACUAGAACGUGUCCCGAGCAGUUUUUAUGCCCAUGACUUGUGCCAACCUAUACGAAAAACUAAGGGGAAUUAAAUCUGAAAAAUAAAUAAACAACAAAAAUAAAUUAAUAAUUAAAAUGAAGUAGAAAUAAGUAAAAUGAAAUUAAAAUUGAAUAAACCGAUAAAACAAAAGCUUUAGCUUCAAGCUCGAUUUUGACUUAGUCUUCAAACUGAUCACGGAGAAUGAAUUUUUUUUCCUUUAAUUAAUAAGUCAAUUAUAGAUGCCAAGGAACGAACCUCAAAGCACCUAAUUCUUCCAUAGUGGUAAAUUAAUUGCGGGAACAGCUCGACGGCUAAGCCUUAUCAAGUGAAUAACCUUGAAAGUAGCAUUGGUGAUUUAAUUCAUUGGUAGCCUUGCAAACUAAAAGAACCUGACUCAAAUCAACGGCCUCAAUUGUAUGAGUCAUUUAAACUUAAUUAUUAACUUCUUUGAUGGAUCCAACCACUCACGCCAUUUGUCAUGUCAAUUUGUAAUUCAGUGGAUCUAAUACAACAAUUACGGAUAGCAUCGAUUCUCUAACUUUAUGUCGUUCAACACUAAACCAAGGGACUCUUCUUGAUUUUGAUGCUAAAAUAACAUUGAGAAGUGAUCAAGUUUAUCUUUUAAAUUGGAGAAUUAACGAAUACCGAAAUGGAGAAUAUAAAUACGAUUUUAAAAGUUCACUGUUCAAAUAUUGGAUCAAUUAUCAAUCUAAAACUAGGUUAAAUUUAACAUCUCAUAAAUUAAAAAACAAGAAAAGAAAAUAGUUGAAGGAGAAUAUUUAAUUGAAAUUAAAAAAACACUAAAAUAAAAUCAAAACAAUAGUUAAAUGAUGAAGUUGCUUUGAAACUGGAGUUACCAUUUUCGUUGGAGGAGAUAACAGAGGCAGUGUGGAGUUGCGAUGAGUCGAAAGCAUCUGGGUCGGAUGGCUUUAAUAUGUGCUUUUUUAGAAAAUGUUGAGAUGUUGUAAAAGAGGAACUUUUUAGAAUGAUGUUAGACUUUUUUAGAUCUAGAAAGCUUGAGAGGAGCAUAAAUUCUUCAUUUAUUGCACUCAUAUCCAAAAUCGAAAAUCCAAAUAAAAUAUUAGAAUUUAGACCAAUUUUUUUGGUGAGCUUGUUGUACAAGAUAGUGGAAACGGUGUUAUCUCGAAGAAUUAGGGAGGUUGUUGGAGAGGUAGUGAGUGAAACACAAUGUAAAUUUACCAGAGGUAGACAAAUAUUCGAUGGAACUUUAAUUGUAAAUGAAAUUAUCCAUUCGAUUAAAAAGAAAGAUGGUAUUGGGGGGCAAUCUGAUUUUUAAACUAGAUUUUUCUAAAGCAUAUAUAUGAUUGUGUUUGUUGGGAUUUUUUGGAGUUAGUUUUACUCAAGAUGGGAUUUGGCGAGAAAUGGAUAGAAUGGAUUAUGGAGUGUGUAUCUAUGGCGAGAGUAGCAGUAAUUAUCAAUGGGUCAACCAAAAAUGAAUUCAGAUUCCGCCGAGGUCUCCAUCAAGGAUAUCCGUUAUCCCUAUUUUUAUUUAUCCUAGUGACGGAAGUGCUACAUUUCUCGAUGGAUAAAGCAGUGGAGAUGGGACUAAUUUAGGGCAUUCAAGAUGUUAUUCCCGUGUAGAUUUUUUCUCAUUUACUAUUCGCGAACGAUACUAUACUAUUCUUGAGAGCAGAUGAAGAUGAGGUGAGAAAUUCGAAGUAUAUUUUAUGGUGUUUUGAGAUCUUUUCAAGUCUUAGUAUCAAUUUCAAAAAAUCAUGUUUAGUAGGAUUUGAUGUGAAUGAAGAACUCUUAUAUCAAAUGGCUACAAUAUGUAAGUGUAAGAUAAGGUUUUUGCCUUUUAAUUAUCCAGGGAUUCUAUCGGGAGCAAAUCUGAGGAGAGUAUCCACUUGGGACGCAAUUGUAGAGAGAUUCAAGAAGAAAUUAUCGGGAUGGAAAUGUCGUCCGCUCUCAUGGGCUGCAAGGAUUGUAUUGAUUAAUGUUGUUUUGUCUGCCUUGCUAAUUUAUUUCAUGUCUAUAUUCCAAGCUCCAGUGACAGUUAUUAAAAGGAUCGACAAGAUAAGGAUAAAUUUUCUUUAGAGGAGUAUAAAUGGUAAAAGGAAGAUGGCAAAGGUAAGCUGGAAACAUAUAUGUAAGCCAAAGGAGAAGGGAGGAGCAGGAGUGGUGAAUCUCAUAAUUAAAAAUAGAGCUUAUUAGCAAAAUAGAGUUGGAGAUUCGCGGUUGAAAAAGACGCGCUGUGGCGAAAACUCAUCCUAGCAAGGUAUGGUUAGCGCACGCAACAGUGGCGCUUUAGGACGACUAAUCUAAAAAAUAUGUCGAUUGUAUGGAGAGGUAUUGUAGAAAAUUCUAAAGACGCUAAUUGUAAUACCCCUAACCCUUAUCCAUCACCAGAAUAGGGUUAUAAAGCUUUACCAGACUUUUCAAAAUCAAACACGAUCAUUUCAUAACAUUUAGUAUACAUAUUAAAAACUAUUCAUAUAAUACUCAUAUUGUCCCUUAUAUAGGCCCUCAAGGCCCAAAAUACACUUUAGAAGUGAGUCGGGAUUAAACCGGACACUCUAGAAAUUUUUCGCGAAAUGUCAAAAUUUUCCUUAGAAAUAAGGAACACACGCCCGUGUGGCCAAGCCGUGUGGCUCACAUGGCCUGAAGACAUGCCCAUGUCCUAAGCCGUGUGGGCAUUCAAUGUGAGGCACACGGCCGAGUCCCAGCCCGUAUCCUUACCCGUGUAAUUCUCUGACUUGUGUCACAUGGCCAACCACACGCCCUUGUGCUAGGCUGUGUGCAAAGUACAGGGGUCACAUGUCUGUGUGCUAGGUCGUGUGUAAAAACCUAGGCAUUCUGUUUUGAAAUUUCAAGGUGCAGGGGACACACGGCCAGAUCACAUGCCCAUGUGCCAAGCCGUGUGUCACACACGGCUGAGACACACGCCCGUGUCUCUGCCCGUUUGGACGAAAAUAGGCCAUUUUAAGGCCACUUUUCUCACCUUUUUUGACAUCAACCUAUAGACAGCAAUUCAAUAUACCAAAUAUCCCUAAUCAAGCAAUAAACACAAGCCAAAAAUCAUGUUUUAAGCAUAAUAAGCUAUCACGAAAUUCAAUUGUCUAAAUUUGCCAAACUAACUUCAUUCAUUGAUUUACCAAAACCUACUCCUAGCUAUAUACAUACAAACACACGCAUAUAUAUAUAAUUGUCAUUCAUAAUUAUACUCCAAGUAUAGCCUUUUUCAAUCCAUCCCUAUACAUGCCGUAUAAACCAUAAAAUGUACAACAAAAUCUACCGGAGUAAUCUAGAUAGUGUGACCCGAUGUGUUGAUUCGAACUUCUUGAAAAUCUACAAAGAACAUUAAACAACACAAGUAAUCUUAAUGAAGCUUAGUAAGUUCGUUGGCUUAAUACAUAAAUCUUACCGAACAUACCAUGACAAUUCAUUUAAGUAAAUCGUUCAUUACACAUUUCCUGCCAACUACAACUUUAAUCGAUGAAUUCGCUUCUUUGAGCUCAAUAUCAAUAAUAACCUAAAUUCUUCCACAUUAAUUCCAUAUAGCACUUGCCACUUCUUGUCAAUCAAAGAACGAUUUACGGAUUUGAGUACAUCGUAAACAAAAGCCCAAAGGUUGCACGAAAGAACAUAAGUGCUAAACUGAAACCUAUAAGGGUUGAACGAAAGCUCAUAAGAGCUAAAUGGAAACCCAUGAGGGUUAAACUGAAGCUCAAAAGAGCUGAACUAAAACUCAAAAGGGUUAUACUAAAGCUCAAAGAGCUAAACGGAAACCCAUUAAGGUUAAACGGUAACUUGUAUAAGUUAACUAAAGCUCAUGAGAGCUAAACGGAAAGUACACACGAAAUUUUGCAACAAAUGCUGAACCUUGAUUUACUUGGGUAAUUUACCGUCAAUUCCUCAUUUACACAGAACGACCUUACUCAAUCCGGCAUUCUGUUUGCUUCAAACAUUCAAUUCAAUUUCAUAACUUUAACAAUAAUAUUAUUUUCAACAAAUGACAUGAAUAAAUACAUAAUGUCAUUCAUCAAUUUAACAGUUAACAUUUAAAUUUAACCAUACGAACUUACUUGGGCUAAAUUGUAGAAUUCGUAGUAAUUCGGGGACUACUCAGCUAAUUUAUCUUUUUCACGAUUUUCUUCAGGCUCUUGAUCUAUAAUAUAAAAUUGUUCAUUUCUCAGUAUCUAAAUCAAUUCUAAUUCAUUUCAGAACUUAUGCCCUUUAAUUUUUGAAAUUACACAUUUGCCCCAACUUUUACAUUUUUUACAAUCUAGUCCCUCAUCAAUUUACCCAUCAAUUAAGCUAAUUUUUCUCAAUUAACACUUUAUCUAAUUAUUUUAAGUUACCAUAUACCCUUGAUAUUUAGAAUUUUAACACCAAACCCUAAUUCUUAACCUUUUUACAAUUUGGUCCUAAUAUCAAUAUCUAUCAAAAUUACUUAUUAAAAUCAUUAUAUAACAAAAUUAAAGCUUAAAUUCCAUGAUAAUUCAUCAUAAAAAUCCAUCAAUCAUCAAUGGUAACUUUUGAAAUUACCCAUAGAAUCAAAAACUAAUGAAAUAAGUAGUCGGACCUAAUUGUAAAAGUCUCAAAAACACAAAAAUUUCAAGAAAAGAGCAAGAAUUAAACUUACAUGAAGAUAAAAUAUGAAAACCAGCCUUGAGAGCUUUUCAAUGGUGUUUUUGGCUAAAGAAAAGUGAAGAAAUGUCUAGAGAUUCAAUUUAGUCCAAUUUUAACUAUUUAAUUUUAUUUCUUUUCCAAUUUUGCCCCUUGUUCACACUUAUCCUUUGAUUUUUUUCUGCUUGUACCGUCCAAGCCUUUCACUUUGGGCUAAUUUUCCCUUUUAGUCCUCCCUUAUUAAACACUUAAGUUAUUUAAUCAUUUUAGCAAAUUUUGCACAUUUUUCAAUUUAGUUCUUUUUAAUUAAUUAACCAUCAAAACGUUAAAAUUUUCUAACAAACUUUUGAUAGUAACUCAAUGACACUCCGUAAAUAUUUCUAAAAUUAUUUACAGCUCAGUUUAUAAAUUUUAGGCCUCGAUACCUCGUUUUCAAAACCACUUUUCUUAAAAUUCUUCUAAAACACAAACCACCAAAUCAAAAAUCUUUCUAAAAUCACACUUGACUCGUAAAUAAUAAUUAAUAAAAUUUUCAAACUCACUCGUCAGAUUUAGUGAUCUCGAAUCACUAUUUUUGACACCACUAAAAGUUGGACUGUUACACUAAUGUUUCUAAAUGGGUGGGGAACAAAGCUUUUAGAUGGAUGGUUGGGAAUGGAAGGAUGGCGAUGUUUUGAGAGGAUAUUUGGUGUUGUAAUCAACCACAAAAAAAAAAGAAUUUCCUAGAGUUUUUCGCUUAGCAAGAAAAAAGAAAGGUAUGGUAACAGAUUACUCGAGCAACAAUGGUUUCAGCAAUAUGAAUUACGGUGAAUUCUAACGAAGCUUUUAGAUGGAUGGUUGGGAAUGGAAGGAUGCGAUGUUUUGAGAGGAUAUUUGGUGUUGUAAUCAACCACAAAAAAAAAAGAAUUUCCUAGAGUGUUCCGCUUAGCAAGAAAAAAGAAAGGUAUGGUAACAGAUUACUCGAGCAACAAUGGUUUUAGCAAUGUGAAUUAUGGUUAAUUCUUUACACGAACAUUAUUGGAUAGAGAGGUUGUGAUGCUUCGUAGAUUGGAGGAUAUGGUGAAAAGCAUGGAGUUAGUUCUAGAGGUGAAGGAUCAGCUAAAUUGGGUGCAUGAUAGUAAUGGGGAGUUCACGGUAAAGAAGUUAUCUAACUUAUUAAUUAAGGUUGGAGGGGAAGACAUAAGUUUUGCUUUUGAAAAAAAUUGGAAGUUAAAGGUACCACCGAGAGUGCGAAGUUUUCUAUGGAUGCUUGCUAUUGAUAGAUUCCUACAAAUGAAUUUCUUGUUAAAAGAGGGGUAUAGCUUCAACACAUUUCAAUCAAAUGUGCAUAGUAUGAAAGAGUACCAGAGAGAGCAGAUAAUCUAUUCUUCAAAUGCAAAUAUAUUGAAGGGUUUUCGUAUAAAUUUUUCAAAUGGUGGGAGGUUGAAUGGAAAUCGGUAGAACGAUUUGCUAAUUUUAUUCUUUGUGUUAUAAUGUGAAAUUGUUAGGAAUCCGAAGAAUGUUAUGGUUGCUAUCAAUUUCGGCAGCUUGCUGGUCAGUGUGGACAGAAAGAAAUGAAAUUGUCUUCGAAAGAAAGGUGAUGACUAUGGAAGCUUUGAUAUUUCAAUCCAAGAUGAGGGCAAUGUUGUGGAUAAGGGUUGUAUAUGAUGAGUUAAUGGUGCAGGAGAGCUCUUGGUGGAUUUGUCCGAACAAGUGCAACUUUAAUACAAUUAAACCAGAUCCUCUUCGUCGAUAUGGCGCCUUCCUCCACAAGGCUAUCUGAAUUUCAAUGUAUGCGGGAUAGUAAAUGAGAAAGUUGCAGGUUGUGGUGGAGUACUAAGAGAUAUGGAGGGUGUUGCAAGAGCUUUAUUUUCGGGUCCUAUUGCAGCUAAUGACGCAGAUUCAGUAGAGGUAGAGGCAGUGUUUAUAGCAUUGGAUUUGUUGUUAUCCAUGGGAUGGAAGAUUAAUAGCUCUCUUAUUGUAGAAAUUAGUUCAAAAAUGGUGUACAAUUGGUGUCUGAACAAGAAUAUGAGACUGUGGUCGUUACAAACAACAUUUUCAGAUAUUGAAAGGAAAAUUGAGCAGGUUGGUAGUGUAGUAUUCUUGAUGGCAGAUCAAAAGGUAAUGAAAUGGCUUCAACCUUGGCGAUAGUAGGUAUUAAUCGUGGUGACAUGUUUAAAGCUUGUUAGUGAGUAUUAGCUUUGAUUUCGAAUAAUAGUUUUCAAUUGUAGGAAAUGUUUCAUUGUGGUAUUUUGUAAGUUGUACCUUUGAAUGUUGUUCUUGUUGUAUUUACAAUAGAUUAGUUUGAAUGAAGCAAAAAAAAAGUUGGUGGGUACCGUGUGCCCCCUCUCUUCACGCCUUACUAUAUAAUAAUAAUAAUAAUAAUAAUAAUAAUAAUAAUAAUAAUAAUAAUAAUAGACAAGCUUAAGAAUAUAAAAAGCCUUUACUCAUUGCCUAAGAUAAAAUUUAAUCCUCAUUAAUAUCUUAAAGAGAAAUCUUUCUAAAUAAUAAUAAUAAAAUAAUCCUAAAUUUUAAAUGUCUUGUAUGUCAACUUCUCAAUCCAACGAUAAAUUUACUUUUUUAUAUUGUACUCUAACACUUCGAACAUGCGCUAUAUUUAUAUAGAAAAUAGUCAAUAAAAUACCAAAGUAGUAACAUCCAUGUCCAAAAUUAAUCAGAAUAAAUCAUUAAAAAAAUGUCUAUUAAGAACAUUAUCAAAUCCCCCCUUAAUCAAUACUUGCCCUUAAACAUUUUAUGCAUUCAUCAUCUAAACAUAUCACAAUCAUCAAAGCCAAUUCAAUUUUCACAGUCCUUAGUUCAAUAAAAAAAAUAAGCACUAUCAAAAUUUUAACCCUACAACCGUCUCGCUCAAGCAAGCACAUAGAUUAACAAUUUAUGAUAAGUGCUAAAAGUAACAUAUUUUAACCUCGUUCUAUAACAUCUCAAAAUUGGGGGUUAGAAGUUUUGAGGUUUGUAGUGAGGGUCAGCGAGUAGGUCGAACAAUUGGUUUUAUUUUCGCUUUUUAAUAUCAAAAUGAGCUUGUUGGUUUGAUGGUAGAGUAUGUUACUAGUUUCCCUUGGACGAGUGUUUGAAUCCCAAUGUGAGAAUAAAGGAAGUUUUGUUUUAAUUUUAUUUAUAUUUUUUAUUUGAAAAAAAUAGAAGAAAAUCCUAAAAAUUUCUCACGUUCUCCACUUUCUCUUUCACAUCAGUCUCCCUCUUUCGGUAAAGAAAAAUUAUAGAUUCUGAUUUUCUUUCUUUUCUUUAUUGGGUUUCAAUACUUUUGUAAACCGCUGCCUUAAAAUCCUGGUGGUGCUUUUGUUCUUCGUUUGAUCAGACGUCGAAUAGGUUUAUUCGGUUAAUACUUGGUAAUUUGAUAUAAAUUUUAGGUCGAAAUUGUUUAUAGCUUUAGUAUGUUUGCAGAACUGAGUUUCAGGUCGUUAGAGUAAAGGCGAAGUGGUCGGUUCUUGGUGCUCUGGAACAUCAAUCAGGUGUGUGUUCUGAAAAUGUUUAAUUUUGGUAUCGAAUUGCUAUUGGAUUCUAUGGAAUUCAGCAGUUUCUAGUGUGUUUAUGAAAUUGUGUGAAUUCGGUAACGAAUUGUUGUUGGAUUUUAGGGAAAUAUGCAAAAUUCUGAUGUGUCUUGAAUGGUUAGCGAUUUGGGGUUUGUUUUGCUGUUGUGAAAUUGCAAUUUUAGCUUGUUUCGGUGUGGUUUCUUUACCACAUGGGCGUGUGCCGCACACGAGUAGUCCACACGGUCGUGUGACAUUGGAAAUUUGGGAUUUUGGACUUUUUUUAGUGCCACACGGUCGUGUGGCAGCUAUUUAGGGAUUUUUGUGUGCCUUGGACACACGGUCGUGUCCCUUAGCCAUACGGGCAUGUGAGAUUCCCACACAGCCCUGUUUACUUUGCUCCUUAUUUUGACAUUUUUGGACAGUGAGUGACAUUAAUUAUUCACACGACCAUGUAACUCGGUCGCACGGGUAUGUGUCUCCUCCACACGAGAGUGUACAGCUUGCACACGGGCGUGUAGACCACCACACGACCUAGUAGACCUCCACACAACCUAGGCACUACCACACAGCCGUAUGGCCCUGUUUUGCAAAUUUUUGUUCAGUGUUGAAAUUUUGCUCGUUUUGUGUUUCUGUAUAUUUCAACCCUUGGUUAAGUCUUGGUAACUGUAUUUGGGACUCCGCUGCAAUAUGGAUUUAAGUGUGUAUGUAUGUGUUCAGUUUAGGUAAUCAGGAAAUGUAUUAAUGGAUUAUGAUGAAUGAGCUUGAAUUGCUUACUUGUUGUCGUAAUUCUGAAAUAUGUACAAACGCUAUUGAUUUUGAAAUUGUUCGGCUGAAUGUGAGUGACGGUCUCUGUGAGUCUAUUAGCGUAUGUUGUGCAUUCAUGCAUUUGCAUAAAAUCGAGGUUUUUAGUUGCGAAGAGAAGGAAGGCUGAUUGGGUAGUUCAACUGCAAUAUUUUUGUACAGCAGUUUACCGUAAUGAUUUAUACAUUUGUCAGCUAAGCUACAUAUUGUUAUUCGAGUGGCUUAGUUCCACAAUAUGUGGUGUGUAGGGUAGAUGGGCCUAUCAUGGUCCUAUGUCGUGUGCAGGGUGGACGGGCUUGAUAUAGCUCAUAGGUGGUGUGCAGGGUGGUCGAAGUGGUCUUCAGAUGGUUGGGGUGGGUUUUUGACUCGUUACAUUCGCUACGCAUCUAAAUAUAUGUUUGUUUAUGUGAGCAUUGAGGUGUUGGAGAUAUGACCAUUAUAACUUGAUGUGUUUUAUCUAAUAUGUGGUUUGGUAUGCUUUAAAAGCACCAUGUUAUUGAAUUACCCAUUGAGAUUUCCAUUUAUGAUUUGUGCUCAUAUACUGUUUUGGAAUACUCGAUGUGUUACUCCGUUUUGUUGAUUGCUUUUGAUUUCAGACUCACAUUGAGCUCAAGUAGCUCACCUCACCUUAGUGUUUCAUUCUUCGAGGUACUUUUCGUGUUCGAAAGCUGGACUCGGCAUGCCGGAGGUUUCAGACUAUCGAGUAAAUUGAUUUUGGUUCAAAUGAUGCUACUUAAAAAUUCAGUUGUUAUUUUCAAAUGGUUCGUAGGAAAGAUUAUAAAAAAUGUGGUAUGAGUUAAGUCUGGAUUUUCGAUCAACUAGUUGUUACGGUUUUAAACAAUUUAUAUGUUCCGUUAUAUCAAGGUUUCGAAAUUUUGGUUUGUGAAUGACAAAUUUAUGCUUUCAGAACUGUCAAAUGAUUCCAUAAGAAUUACUUCCGACUUGCGUCGAAUGCCAUUUAAAUGAUUCCAUAUGAAUUACUUCCGACUUGCGUCGAAUGCCAUUUAAACUUUGUUUCAAAAUUUAAUUAAGUGUUAUCUAACUUUCUAAAAUUACAUGCUUGUGACAGAGUUUUUAUCUCAACCACUUUAGGUGGUCAAUGUGACCUCCGAGAUUCGGUCUAAACUUUUAGGUCGGGUUUUAGGGUGUUACACAUUCUUAGUGUGUUUUUGGGUGAUUAUUCAAUGUUAAUGGUGAAUUUUAUGCUUCUAAUCCUUCAAAUUCUUAUUUUUAUGCUUAAAAGGGCAUUUGGGAGUAAAACAAGCAAAAAUUGGAGUAAGGUACAAGAGACACACGGGUUGACCCCUUCCACACUUCCUGAUAUUUAAAAUAAUCUAGAAAUAUAACCGAUUUUGAAAUAAAAUUUAAACAGAUUCUGAAAAAAAUUUUAACAGAUUCCCUAAAAAUCGUGGUUUUUCGCAUUUCAAAGUGCAAUUCUGCAAAAUUGACAUGACCUGCCACAUUGAAGCUGAUUUUGAAGUAGAUUUCUGUCAAGAUUGAAGACUCCCAGUUGAUUUCUUUGGAGAUUAUCAUUUCUUUAUUUCUUUCGGUUAUAUUAUAUCUUUGAUGUUUUUAUUUUCAAGCAUGAACUAAUUUUCUAAAUACAUAGGGAGAUGAACCCUAGGAUGGAUUCUGUCGUUUGAUUUUUAUUUUGCUCAAUAAAUACUUAGAUCUUAAUUCUUGAUAUAAUAUUUCUAGAUUAUUUAUCCAUGUUUGGUGUGCUUAAAUCAGAGGAGGAAUAGACCCUGUUUAAGAGUAGAUCUUGCGUAAUUGAGUGGAUUUGCAUGCAAUCCUAGACAUAAGACAACAUAAAUCUAUCGAAUUAGAGUCAAAUCUAAUAAGGGAAUUCAUAGCACAAGUUAAUGCGAUAAUAGGGGUUUUAAUUAGAAAGAAAUUUCAAUUAAUCAAUCUUGAGUUAGUUGCUCUUAUUCUCGAAAGAAAUAUUUGUAUAAUCUAGGGAUUUUUACAAAUCAAGUUGCUAAGUAAAGAAAUUGCGUAACUUAGAUUGAUAACGACAGAUGAAACCUAGAUGAGUAUUGUUUCGCUUCUUGGUUGUUAAUCGCUUAUUUUUCUGAUAUAUUUUUUGUCACAUUCUUUAGUUAGUUAAUUUAGUUAAUUUUAAUUUUAAUCAAUCACUCAAAUUUAUCGGUUAAAUAAUAAAAAGACAGUAUUUACUAGUACUUUUAGUCUUCGUGGAAACGAUAUCUUUAUUCACCGUAACUAUAUUGUUAAUUGAUACGUACACUUACCUUAGUCAAAUUUUUAGUUGUUCACGACACAUCAAUUCAAUUAAGCAUACAAUUAUUAAAUUAUCUCAUAAUUAAGCUGCACAACAUUAACUUACGUUAAAUUGUCAAGACACCAAAAUUAACAACCAUUUGUCCCAUAUUUUUGUGUUCAUUUUUUUUUCUUUUAAAAGUUUAUCUAGAGUGUCACGAGAUCUUUUUCCAUGAAAAAGGAUGACAAUCCAAACACUCCACUCCGAUUAAUCAAUUCACCACAUGUUGACUAACUUUAGUCAAAAUUGUUAAGAUCAAUAGAAUAGCUGAAUAGCUUAGAAUGUCACUAAAUCUUUUGACGUGAAGACAAAUGACAACCUAAGCACUUGACUCAAGUUACUCAAUCGAUCACAAUUCUAAGACUUUACUCAUAAUUUAGGCAAUUAAUGAGUAUUUAUUAAAUUAUUUUAUUGAUUAUUUUUUUCAAUUUUUUUUUGUUCGAAUGCAAGAUGAAACAUGUUUUAAGAGUAUUAAUCUCGUUAAAAAUUGCGUGAGCCUAAUUUUUUUUUUUUUGGUGAGUGCUUCAGCUAAGUAAUUAAUAAUUAUUAUUAUUUACUUUAAAAUAAAAUAAAAUUCAUGUAAAAGAGUAGCAUAUAUAGGCAGAGUAUUUAAACAUGCUUAAUAGAAAAUAUUCUAUCAAUUUUUGAAUCGCUUAAACAAUAAAAUGAUAUCUAAAUUAUAUUAAUUUUUUAAAAUUGGUAUUUAAAUUUUUCUUAAGUCAAAAUGGUACCUAAACAAUUAAUCUAUUAUCUAUUUAAUUCAGCCAAUCAAUUGCCACGUAAAUAUCUAUUUAUUUUUUUCAAAAUAUUACUAAAAUUUGAUAAAUAAAAUUAAAAAUAGUUAAAAAUAAAACAUCAUAAAUUUAAUAAAAUUUAAACCUUACGAAAAAAACAUUUUACUGAUUGAAAAAACAUCAUAAAUUAAUGCUACCAACAACUCCUAGAAAGAGUAUCCACUAAUAACAAUAAACUUACAUGAGUGAGGGAUUUAUUGAAACAAUCAGCAACCAAUUUUGACACUUUUUACCAAUUAUUUUAUAUAUUUAUUUUUUAUUAUUAUUAAAAAAAUUAAUUUAACUCUUUAAAAAUUACAAAGAUAUAGACUAUUAAAAUGAUGAAAUUAUUUAUUAUUAUUAUAAAAAUAUACAAUUUAAUUUCGACCUCCCAAUAAAUAUUUCAAAAUCCGCCACACGAAUGAUCCAAAUAAAAAGACGACAGUCAAUACAAUUAAAUUUAAAUUCUCACUUAAAUCCAAAUUCAAAGUAAAACAAAUGUGACAGAAUGAAUCAAAUAGUGGGAGAAUGUUUUUCAAGAAGUAGAAAUGCAAAAAUAGCUUCAAAAUCUACUCUUACUAAAAAAAAAGAAAAAUAAGAAAGAAUUUAUUAUCUUUUAUACUAUUAAUCUCUCACAUAUACGGCCAAGCUACUCUGAACGUACAACGCACCCAUUUGCGUCAUUGCAAACGCAAUUUUGGUCCUUAUGCUAUAAUAAAGGGGGAAAUGAUUCUGGUUUAGACAAGAAAAAUGAAUGCGUUGAUGAAGCUUCUAAUUCUUGCUCCAUGUUGUUUCUUCUUCAUAGCUUUAAUAAAGUUACUUUAUGAUUACCUAUGGAUACCUCUCCGUAUUCAGCAUAUGCUGAAUUCACAGGGGAUCAAAGGACCUCCUUACAGAUUCAUCCAUGGCAACAACAUGGAAGUUACCAAAAUGAAACAAAAUGCUUUAAGCAAAUCUGUGGCCUUGACAGAUGAUCUAUUUCCCAAAGUACAUCCACAUAUUUACACCUGAACCAACAGAUAUGGUAAGAUCCAUGCUUGUUUUUUUCACUAUGAUUUAUAACUUGUAGUUCUAAGAAAAGGUAGACCCUUUUUCUUUUCAUGUUAUUAGGGAAGAAUUUUGUUUAUUGGAACGGUGCUCGAGCUGAAUUGGUGAUUUCAGAGCCUGAAUUAAUCAAAGAGGUUCUGGAAAAUAGUGAACAAAUUUUUCAGAAAAAGAAACCUUCAGAUAUUGGUGGGAAGUUCUUGGGGAAUGGUCUUCUAUUCAUUGAGGGGGAAAAAUAGCCAAAGCAUCGAAAGCUGGCCAAUCACACUUUCCAUGGGGAAAGCCUAAAGGUAAGUCUUCCAAAUAUAUAAACCAGGUGCAAUUAAUUUACAAGAAUUAUACAUAGACCACAAUAUUUUGGUAAAAUUUUGUAUUGUUAGCUAAGGAUAAGUUUAUUAUGGACGUUGAAAAAGUGUAGUAAAAACAUACUUUCGAAGAUUUUAACACCAUUUACUACUUAGGAGGUCAAUUUUAAACUUGAUGCUGUAAAAUAAAAGAUUGAAUCAGAGAUUUAAAAAAAGUAAUUUCAUUAAAAAGCACUCUUUUAGCUUUUAGACUUGGAUUAAAAUCUAGUUUGAAAUAAGAUUUAGUUUGAAAAGGUGUUUAUUUGUCAAAUUUUUUAAUUUAAAAUCAUGAUUUUGUGUUAAAAAGUGUUUUUCAGACUCCAAUUAUAUAUGUCACUAUUACUUACAUGUUGGAGGAUUCUUUGGGCAGAACAUGACUCCAGCAAUAAUUGCUAGUGUUGAAACAAUGCUAGAAAAGUGGAAAGGCCAAGAAGGCAAGGAGAUUGAAGUGUACCAAGAAUUUAGGUUAUUAACUUCAGAAGUGAUUUCCAGAACAACAUUUGGUAGCAAUUACAUGGAAGGGGAGAAGAUAUUUGCCAUCUUGAGCAAGUUGGCAGUAAUUAUGAGUCGAAAUGUUUCCACGACUAGAAUUCCUUUGAUCAGGUAUCUUCCCUCUAAGCUUAAUUAAUCCCAACUUUUACCUUGAUUUCAUGUAGCCUUUGAAUGCAACUUUUAGACUUUCAUUCCCCGUGGAUUUGGUUUUCUCAUAUAUAGCUGACCCUGGUUUGCUUUUGCAGCAAGUUGUGGAAAUCUGCUGAUUUGCUAGAGUCUGAAAAACUUUCAAAAGAAAUGAAAGAUCGUGUGAUGAAGAUUGUUAAGAAAAGAGAAGACAAAGUUGUGAAUGGAGAAGUCAAUAGCUUCCGCAGUGAUUUUCUUGGAUUACUUCUAAAUGCCUAUUAUGAUUCGGAUGCGAAAAACAGGCUUUCAUUGGAAGACGUGGUAGCUGAAUGCAAAACACUCUAUUUUGCUGGACAAGAAACUGUUAAUUCCUUACUUGCAUGGAUAGUCUUGCAUUUGGCAAUCCUUGGAGAUUGGCAAGAAAAAGCGAGAAGAGAGUUGGUUGACAUAUUUGGUAACCAAAAUCCACAUCUCGAAGGCAUCGCCAAACUCAAAAUAGUAAGAAAACUAUAAAACUGGGAAUUCAAAUAGCCAUCGACAUGAUGUAAUCUGACAUAUUAUUCUAUUUUCCAAACAGAUGACCAUGAUCAUCAAUGAAGCUCUAAGAUUGUAUGGUCCAACAAAUGUCCUCCAAAGAACAGGUACAAGAGAAAUUCAGUUGGGAAAGCUAAUCUUGCCUGCUAAUAUAGAUAUUCUGCCUUUAAGUAUUGGACUUCACCGGGACCCUCACUUUUGGGGAAAUGAUGUGCAUCAUUUUAAACCUGAGAGAUUCGCUGAAGGGAUUGCCAAAGCUACCAAUUACACCGCGGCUGCCUUUUUCCCCUUCGGAUUAGGACCUCGAUCUUGUGUUGGUAUGACAUUUGCAAUGAUAGAAACCAAGAUUGCUCUCUCCAUGAUUCUACAACGCUACACCAUUACCCUUUCCCCUGCCUAUGUCCACUCUCCAGUACUUAUUCUUACCCUUCAACCCCAAAAUGGAAUUCAAGUAAUACUUGAGCCGAUACAUAGUAAUGCUUGAAGUACAUAGCCGUUAAGAACUAGAGGUUUAACAUGGUUCGUGAAUUCUACUUUUAAGAGAUGAUAUUUAAUAUGUUUAAAGGUUCUAGCAUUUAUCACAAAGACAAACGACUCGUGGUCAUGUUUACUUUUCAUCUAUCAUGCAAUGUCGAUGAGAAGAUACCAUUUACCAAUUAGUUGGGUUAUGAAUUCUACUAUUUUGAAUGAUGUUACAUACUAUAGAAGUUGUGUAUCCAGUGCACCAACUUUUAAUGGUUCUUUAUCUUAGCCUUUUACUUGCAUCAAAGUAUACGAGCCAUGCAUGCAUAGUCCAUCAUCCACUCAAGAUUAAGGUAUAUCACACUAUGAACAUCACAAGUAAAUAGAUCCAUAAAUGGAUUUAGAAUCGAUUCUCCUUGGGUCUUAUCUGAUGUACUGUCAGUCCAGUCAAUCACAUCUAUGUUUUUAUCUUUUAGGAGUCAUCUGUUCCAUUUGAGACAAAGCUUCUCCACAAUUGGGCUUGAUAGACGACAUAUUAGUUUCUCAAUCGAUUUGCUCAUUUUCAAUUAGACUAAGGACAUAUUUAGGUUUAUCUACUAAUACAAGCUAUCUUUUCAUAUCACGAUCUGACCACGUGAUACCGCUUAGUAUUAAUUUAAACAUUAGAUAACCAAUGAGUCAACAUUUGCUUCCAUUUUGCUUUGCAUGCAAAAACAUUGAGGACAAUAUCCAAAGGGUAUUACUUUAAUUAAUAGAUAUUAUUAAACCAAUUUGUUUGAAAAAUACAAUUAUAUAAAACGAACAUAGUACACUUAGUGUACCAGAUCCAACAGUGGCCACUACAGCUAGCAUUGCCAUUAUAAGCAACAUAACUUGACAUUUUUGGAGUUGAAAUCUUUUCAGCAAAAUCAGUUGGGCAACGACUUAGAUGAUUUUGUGGACAUGUGUUGGCUCAUAUUUGAAGAUCCAUUUUGUGGAAUCAAUCUUUGAAUAUUAAAUCAAUCUGAAUCAAGCAAAUUGGAUCACUUAUUUUGUGGAGAUUGGCUUGACUUAUUUGAAAAUUUAUUUUCGAAAUCUUUGAUUUAUUCUUGACUUUGAGGAUAUUUGUAAAGUUUUUUUUUACAAGGCUAUUUUUUGUGGGAUAUUGAUUCUAAUUGAUCUUUUAUCUUUGCAAACAUUAAAUUCUUAUAUAUUAGAGGCUUGUAUAAGUUAAAAAAAGAUAGAGUUUUUAUAGCACUUAUUUUUUUCAUUGAGGAACUUGUAUUUGAUAGUGCAUUAAGAGUGUAAAUUAAGUUUGUUGCUUGGUUUUACAACCAAAAUUCUCAAGGGAAUUUAGUGGUGAGUGAUUUAGAUCUUUAGAUACAAAAGUGAGGUUGCUAUACCGAGUUGUGAUAGGACUUCAAUAACUUGUUGUCUUGGGAUUAAAAAUAAUGAAUUUACUCACUAAGUUAGGUUUCAUAGACAUAGAAAAAUCGAUAUGCGUAAACAAUCAUUUGUGUUCCAUUUUUUGUUGUUGUGUUCAUCAUAGUGGCAUCAAAGGUUGCCACUACAGCCAUCACUUUGGUCAUCAAUUACGCACUUUAUUUUUUUAAGCAAUUAUCAACUUUAUGCUCCAAGAGAAUGCUUGUUUCUAGUACAAUUGAUCAAUUUUGUAGGAAGCAUAAUGACAAAAAAGAAAAUGGUUACAAUCAACCCCUUCUGUAACAACUCCAUUUGUAUCUUUGCAUGUUAUAAAAAGGUGGUUGUUAUAUACUAUAACAACAUGUUGUUAUAAAAAGAUAAUUAUUGUAAACCUAAAAUAGAAUUUAUAUCGUGAAUUACUAUCAAAUAAAGAAAUUGAGAAUUAUAUUAAAAAAAGGAAAGUAGAAAUCAAAUCAACAAAAUUAAAAGAUGUAUAAUAGGUGCAUGCAUUAUUACCUUUAUAUUUUAUUUUACAUUUUUCACAUGAUUAAUUAUAAAAUUCAUCAAUCUAACAAAUAAUUAAUCGAUAUGAGUUUAAAUUAAAUUAAAUUAGUUAAUUUAUCAUGUGUUAUUAAAUACAAGUAAUUAAUUUAUAAGAUUAUGAUGUUCUAAAUUCAUAGUAAAUUAAUAUUUAAUUAGAGAACUUAAUAGUUUAUUGAAUUGAUAUCUUUAAUUCCACGAAGAUUUUUCAUGUCAAAUUUAAACAUUUUAUUAAAAUAAUAUUUUAGUUAAGAUCAUUUUUAUUUAAUAAAUUAGAAUUCAUAUAAGCAAUAUAAUUAAUCAUAAUAAAUUAUAAUUAAUAGGCUUGUAUAUCGGUCCAGUGUAAUUAAUAGACUUGCUUAAAUGAGUUUUAAAAUAUAUUUUUAAAUUUAAAAUUUUAUUUCUUGAAUAAUGAAUUGUUACCUGCUUAAUUUAUGAAAUAUCUUUAUUGACUUAUUUGAUUGCAUUGGUGAAACAAUUAUUUUAGUAUUUUUAAAUUUUAUGUAUAUAAAAUUUUUAAAAAAAUAAUAAUAAAUCUAAAAUGACACAUCGAAACAGCUGAAUAUUGGCACAUGCGAAUACCAAUAAAAAAAUCAACAUCCACCAAUUUACCCGUUACUUUUUGGUAUUAGGUAGUGGGAGAUUUGGUUUUUGCUUUUGUUUUUGAGAUGUUGAUAUGUUUCACAUCAUCCAUAAGAUGGGCUCUACCUCACCUUUUGUUUGUCUGUUUCCCAUGCUUUCCAUACAAAUCACUAAAAGAAUGGGCUAAAAUGUCAAAUAAACUCUUCAAAAAUAAUUUUUAAAAAACUUAAUUAAGUCUCUUAUAAUAAAGUGCACCAAAUUGAGCUUUUUUAAAUCACAAUUUGCACUUAAUUAAUCCCCUUGAAUUCAUUUUCCCAUUGAAUCCCUUUACGUUCAGUUAACUGCUGACGGGGCAGGUGAUGUGGAAAAAUGAUGGUGUGUUAAUUAGUUUAUAUGGCAAGCUAACAUGGAGGGCUUAAAUGAUUUUUUAUUAUUUUACAAGGGUUUAAUUAAUUAUUUAAAUAAAAAUUAUUAAAAUUUUAAAAAAUCUAAUUUUAAAAUAUAAAUUAUAAAAAUCAUAAAAAAUAUUUUAAAAAUAUUAAAAAUGAUAGAAAAUUUUUAAAUGUUAUAAAUAGUUUAUAAAAACACAGGAAAUUUAUUAAAACAUCGUUAAAUAUAAAUACAUUAUCAUAAAAAUAGCAUAAAAUUUUAGAAAUUAUUAAAAAAUACAAAGAAAUACGAGUAAGUUAGAGAAAAUUAUUAAAAAUACAAAAAAUAUUAAAAAUUAGUAGUAACUUUUAUAAAAAUUAUUAAAUAGAUUUUUUUAUUGGUUUGGAGUGUUUGGCAUUUUCAAUUUUAUUUUUUUGGACAUUAGAGUCUUUGGUUUUAGUAAUAAGGAAAUGGGGAGAUUGAAGUGCGAUGAUCAAACUUGUGAGGGGUUUGAGUGACCAUGGGUUUAGUACUUGAUGGCUUAAAGUGAGCGAUCAAUAGAGGUGUUCAUGGACCGAUCCUGUUCAAAAAAUAAAAAAAAUGUUAAAGAAAGCUUUUCUAAAUAUUUUAUAUAUCUUAUAAUUAAGUUAAAAAUAUAUUUUUAUUAUUUUUAAAAUGGCGAAACGAAUCAUUUUGGCGAGCUAGGUCUAGUUGGGCUCAAGCCUAGAAAGUUUUAUGAAAUUAGGCUUAAGCUCCACCCAACUCAUGAAUACCUCUAGUGAUAUAUAAUGAUGUUGUAUUUGAGGAAAGAUGAUGCGAGGGACAUUAAUAAGGAAGGGUUGAUAUAUGAUGUAUGACAAUGCGUGAGAGAAAACAAAAAUGUGUAAUAAUUUUAAAUUUUUUAUAACUUUUUCUUUAAUUUUUAUAUUUCUUUAUAGUAUUUGAAUAGUUUUAAUAAAUUUUAUAUAUUUUUUCUAAAAAAAUUUAUAACAUUUUAUAUUUUUCUAUAUUUUAAUGUCUUAUAAUUGUUUAUAAAUUUAUAAUAAUUUUUAUGAAUUUUUAAUUUAUAUUUAAAAACUAGAUUUUUUUUUUAGAAUUUAAAAAUCGAAACAAUUGAAUAGGUGGAAUCGCUUCUUUAAAAAAUAUUUUUUUAUAUUUUUAUGAAAUUUUAAUUAUUUAUUUAAUCGUUGUUAGUUUAAGAGCCGAUUGAAUUAAGAAUCGAGAAUUUUAGACAUUGUGUCCUAACUUACGGGACGUGAUUCUUCUUCUGGAUUAACGUAGAAAUAUGCUUCUCUCUUUAAAGUUUAUUUUUCAAAAUUUUGAUAAAGGAUCGUAUUUUGAAUCUUUUUCAAGUUUUCAAUAUUCGACACUAAGACAUUAAUUAAUCAACUAGGUAUCAAUUUUGGGCGUUACGAGGGUGCUAAUCCUUCCUCGUGCGUAACCGACUCCCGAACUUAUUUUUCUAAAUUUCGUAGACCAAAACCGUUGUUUUAAUAAAAUCAAAUCGUUUAUUAAAAACAACUACUUUUCGAGGUGACCCGAUCACACCUCAUAAAAAAAAAGGAUUGGUGGGGACAUUUGUUUUCGUUUUCAAAAUCCAAGUCAAGCCCGUUUUAUCAAAAAAAUGGUUACUAGCUUUAGUCAAAAUUGUUAAGAUCAAUAGAAUAAGCGAAUAGCUUAGAAUGUCACUAAAUCUUUUGACGUGAAGACAAAUGACAACCUAAACACUUGACUCCAGUUACUCAGUCGAUCAGAAUUCUAAGACUUUACUCAUAAUUUAGCAAUUAGUGAGUAUUUAUUAAAUUAUUUUAUUGAUUAUUUUUCAAUUUUUUUCUUUUGUGAUCGAAUACAAGAUGAAACAUACUUUAAGAGUGUCAAUCUCGUUAAAGAUUGUGUGAGCCUAAUCGUUUUUUUUUUUUUUGUGAGUGCUUCAGCUAAGUAAUUAAUAAUUAUUAUUAUUUACUUUAAAAUAAUAAUAAAAUUCAUGUAAAAGAGUAGCAAUGGCAUAGUAUUGAAACAUGCUUAAUAGAAAAUAUUCUAUCAAUUUUUGAAUGGUUUAAACAAUAAAAUGAUAUCUAAAUUAUAUUAAUUUUUUAAAAUUGGUAUUUAAAUUUUUCUUUAGUCAAAAUGGUAUCUAAACAAUUAAUCUGUUAUCUAUUUAAUUCAGCCAAUCAUUUGCCACGUAAAAUAUUUAUUUAUUUUUUUCAAAAUAUUACUAAAAUUCGAUAAAUAAAAUUAAAAAUAGUUAAAAAUAAAACAUCAUAAAUUUAAUAAAAUUUAAACAUUAAGGGAAAACAUUUUACUGAUUGAAAAUACCCUUAAUCAGAUUUUACUAACAAUCCCUAUUUUUUUCAAACAAAUCACAAACUCUUUUAGUUCAAAAAAUUGCAAAUCAUCUUUUUACAACCUUCAUUAAUCCUUUGUGGAAUUGAUAGAAGGGUACGUUUGAAGAAUUAAUUUGUUUUUCUUGAAACCCUUGUUUGUCAAUUUCAUUGAUGAAACCUUUCUAAUUUCAUCAGUAUUUGAUUUUUAUUUUAGGUUAAUCGUAAAACUUUAAUUGAUUUGGGCAAACCGAAGGAGUUGUAAAAAGGUUGAAAGGUAUGAUUUAGGCUUAAGGGUUCUUUUAUAGUUAAUAUGUAGAAUCGAAUGUAUGUGACUUUUGGCAAGUUGUCGGUUCUUGAAAUUUUAUAUUGAGAAAGUAGAACACACCUUUUAAGGGGAAGUUCUUUGUUUGACUCGAGAUUAUUAGUCUGUUGACAAAAAGCCAAAAAAAUGUGCCAUUUGCUUUGAAGUUAUUUAUGAUUGUUUACGAUAAAUUGAGGGUUUUUAAUGGUGUUUAUAUAUGUAUUUUGUUAAGAUACAUAAUGAUACAACUAGAGUUUGUGAUAUGUUUUGAGAUGAUAGGCUUCUCGAUUAUGUGAUUUAUUGUCCUUAGCUAAUUCAAAUAUAGAUUAAUGAGGUUGGUUUAAUAUAUGUUGUAGGGAACAACGAAAAUGGGGAAAUAUUAAAUAUUACCCUAAAACAAAUUGAUAAUUAAUAUAGUUAAAUUAAAUCCAUUUUGUUUUGGCAAAUGAAAACCAUUGGUUUUUAAAGGUUUGAGAAUUGAGGAACCUUUGCAAAACAUAAUGCAAUAUCAUCACUAAAACACUGUUUAUAGGAGCUGAGUAUAAAUACUCUUUUCAUGUCUUUGUUGUUGGGUUUUUUAGGUCUUUUUGUGACAAUUAUCAGUCCUCUCAUUUCAAUAUUUAUGAUAAUAAUACCUGUAAAGCAUGUUGGUCAUGUCUUAUUUUUACUAUACUAAAAUUUGUACUAUUGUAGUACUUAUUAUUAAAGUUCUAGUCCCGUGACAAUUGGUAUUGGACUAAGAUUUGCAGCUUUCUGUUGAGAUGAGGAAAGGAGUAGAAGAGCAGAUUGAACCCAGAGAGACCCAUGGGAGGGGCAGGAACUAUUUAUAUAUUUUUGAGAUGUUGAUAUCUUCCAGAGCCUUUUAUGACCACACACGAUAAUGGGUAAGAUAGGGUCCUACCUGACUUUUGGUUUAUCUGUUUUGAAGGGGAAAAUGGUUCUGGUUUAGAGAAGAAAAAUGAAUGCGUUGAUGAAGCUUCUAAUUCUUGCUCCAUGUUGUUUCUUCUUCAUAGCUUUAAUAAAGUUACUUUAUGAUUACCUAUGGAUACCUCUCCGUAUUCAGCAUAUGCUGAAUUCACAGGGGAUCAAAGGACCUCCUUACAGAUUCAUCCAUGGCAACAACAACGAAGUUACCAAAAUGAAACAAAAUGCUUUAAGUAAAUCUGUGGGUUUGACUGAUGAUUUAUUUCCCAAAGUACAGCCACAUAUUUACACCUGGAUCAACAGAUAUGGUAAGAUCCAUGCUUGUUUUCUUCACUAAGAUUUACGACUUGUAGUUCUGAGAAAAGGUAGACCCUGUUGGUGCUGUAACUGAAACUAACAGACUCAGCACAGACUUGUCGAGCAAGUCUCGAGACUUGCUGAGCAAACAAGAGAAUUCGAGCAAAAGAAAGGAAGAAAAGCUAAGAAAAAAUGAAUAGGAAAAUUGAUGAACAAAACUGAACUAUAUUCAUAAAAUUGAAUAAUGGCAUAAUGCCAAUACAUAAAUCAAGCACUAAGCUUGUCAAAAACAGCAAGUAAUUACCUAAACAUCACCUACUCCCACUAAUUACAUGGAAACUUGAAAUUUUAGCUUGUAAACCUAUACAAAGUUGUGUUUACAGCUCAUACAUAAGCUAAUUACAUCAGUCAACAACCUAACUUAGUUAGAAAUGAACUAAGAUUACAUUUCAUUGACUAGAAAUUACAAAAUAAACAAAAUAAGCUUGCAUCAGCAGCUCCUGUAUGUCUUGGUCUUCAUGGCCUGCAUGCUGUCGAGUUUGUUGCAUGCUGAACCAACUUCAUCACUCCUCCUUGGUUUGCAUGGAGCAAACACCUAGCUUCUUUCUUAGACAUUCGAACCUUGUGACACUAAGGGCUUUGGUUAAAAUGUCUGCAAGUUGAUCCUCUGAAUUACAGUGGAUCAGCUUUACUUCCUGAGCUUGCUCCAUUUCUCGAACAACAUGCAGCUUGAUGCUGAAAUGCUUUGUUCUUCCGUAGAACACUGGAUUUUUAGCAAUUGCUACAGCAGAUUGGUUGUCACAGAAGAUCUCAGUAGCUUCCUCUUGAUGCAUAUUCAAGUCAGCUAAGAUUUUCCUUAGCCAUAUGGCUUGGUUGACAGCACUUGCUGCGGCCACAUACUCUGCUUCAGCAGUAGAUUGAGCCACUAGACUUUGCUUCUUCGAGCUCCAGCAAAACAUGGCUAAACUAAGAUUAAAAGCAUACCCUGAGGUGCUUUUCAUGUCAUCUAUCGAGCCAGCCCAGUCACUAUCAGUGUAGCCAACCAGCUUCAGAUUUCCUUCUUUGCUAUACUUCAAACCAUAGUUCAAAGUGCCUUUGACAUAUCUCAGCACUCUCUUUGCAGCUUGGAAAUGCUUCUCAUUGCAGCAAUGCAGGAAUCUUGAGAGCAAUCCUAUAGCAUACAUGAUGUCUGGUUUAGUGGCAGUCAAGUAUAGCAAACAACCAACUAGACUCCUGUAGGUUGUUUCACAUACCUUCUCAAAAACACCUUGGCUCGAUAGUUUUUCUCUAACAGCAACAGGUGUUUUAGUUGCCUUGUUGUUUUGCAUGGAAAACUUGGUCAGAAUCUUUGUGGCAAAGCUUCUCUGGCUUAGAAAUAUCUCAUUCUGUACUUGAGACACCUCCAUUCCAAGAAAAUAGGACAUCUCCCCAAGAUCAGACAUUUCAAACACUUCCUGCAUCUUGGUCUUGAAAUCAGCCAGCACUGCUCGAUCUCCUCCUGUCACCAGAAGGUCAUCAACAUACAGGGACACAAUGAGUUGUGUUUGUGUCCAUUGUUUCUUGACAUACAGUGUUGGCUCACUCUUGCUUCGAUCGAAUCCCAGAUCAGUCAAGUAGCCAUCGAUUCUGCUGUACCAGGCCCUUGGAGCCUGUUUUAAUCCAUAUAGGGCUUUCUUCAGUUUGUAGACCAUAUGCUCUUUGCCAGCUAUUUCAAACCCUUGUGGUUGUUCAACAUAGAUGUUUUCAUCUAGGAAACCAUUCAGAAAGGCUGAUUUUACAUCGAGCUGAUGGAUCUUCCACUCGAGCUGUACUGCUAAGCCAAUCAGUAGUCUGAUGGUGUCGAGCCUGGCCACUGGUGCAAAGGUCUCCAAGUAGUCCAGGCCAUAUCUCUGACUGAACCCCUUGACUACUAGCCUUGCUUUCAGCUUAUUCAAGGUACCAUCAGCAUUCUGUUUGGCUUUGUACACCCAUUUCACCCCAAUCACCUUCCUUUUGACUGGCCUUUCAACCAAUUCCCAGGUCUGGUUCUUCUCAAUCAUGUUGAUCUCCUCAGCCAUUGCCUGCUUCCACCCUUGCUGAGCCUCAGCCUCUUCAAAGUUGCUUGGUUCAGCUAUGGCUACAUGAGCCCUUUCAUAAAUCUCAGUCAAUGGCCUUGUUCCUCUGACUGGUUCAUCAUCAAUGUCCAUUUCUGGAACAUUUUGGUCUGGCUCAGCUUGGUCUGUUGCUAGUUCUUCAGAAACUUCUUCAGGUUCAUGUCUUUCCCAGUUCCAACAUGACCUUUCAUCAAAUACCACAUCCCUACUAACUGACACUUUGUUUGUUGAAGGAUCCAAGAUCCUAUAGCCCUUCUUAACAGUGCUGUAGCCCACCAGUACAGCAGGUUGAGCCCUUUCAGACAAUUUGUCCCUUUUAACAGCAGGUACAUGUGCAUAACAAAUGCAUCCAAAGACUUUCAGAUGAGCCAGUGAUGGCUUGAAGCCAAAUCAGGCCUCGAAUGGGGUCUUCUGAUCCAAGGCCUUUGUUGGUAGUCUAUUUUGAAUGUAUGUUGCAGUGUUAACUGCUUCUGCCCAUAGUAUUCUAGGCAAAUUCUUCUGAAUCAUUAAGCAUCUGGCCAUAUCCAUCAAACUCCUGUUCUUCCUUUCACUUACACUAUUCUGCUGAGGUGUAUAUGUGUUGGUAAGUUGAUGUUUGAUGCCUGCCUUAUCACAGAAGGCUUGGAACUGAGCUGAGGUGUACUCAGUCCCAUUAUCAGACCUUAUGGUCUUCAGCUUGCAGCCUAUUUCAGUCUCAGAAGCAGUCUUGAACUUCCAAAACACUGAGGCCACCUCUGAUUUUUGUUUUAAGAAGUAAAUCCAACAAUAUCUUGAAAAAUCAUCAAUGACCAGUAUAAAAUACCUAUUUCCACUUAAUGACUCAGUCUUCAUAGGGCCACACACAUCAGUAUGCACCAGUUGGAGUUUUUCAGAGGCUCUCCAGGCUUGAUUCGAGGGAAAUGGGAGUCUGGCCUGCUUUCCUAGCUGACAUACUCCACAUACAUCAUCAUGGUCCACUGAGUUGAUGAAGUUUUUAGCCAGGUCUUCUCUGACCAUUCGGGCCAUCGAUCUGAAGUUGGCAUGUCCCAGCCUUUGAUGCCACAACUUGGAUUCAUCUGAUGUGGCUGUGUAGGCAAUGUCUGACUUCUUUGUCCAGUCAACCACAAAGCUCUUAUCAGCCAUAGGGACUGCCAUCAGUUUGGAUCCACUUGGAUCACUGAUUUGGCACUGGUUGUCUUUGAACACAACAGAAUACCCUUUCUCCAGCAAUUGAGCUAUGCUAAGCAGGUUUCUGUCAAUUUCAGGCACCAAGAGCACAUUUGAAAUCACUUUGGCACCUGUAGAAGUGCAUAUCAGCACAUCACUCUUGCCUUCAGCUUGAAUGAAAUGACCAUUUCCUAUUUUGACCUUAGUUCUGCAGCUUCUGUCUAAAGACUUGAAGAUUGCAGCAUCAGGUGUCAUGUGGUUGGUGCAUCCACUGUCUAGGAGCCAACCAGAUGAGAACCUUUCCUGAGCAGCUGAGCAUGACAUAGUAAAAACUUGCUCCUCUUAGUCACUGUCCUCCUUAGCUACUCGAGCCUCAGCUUUCAUCUGUUGAAACUGAUUGUGCCUUGAUUUGGCCUUGCUCUUGCAAACUCUCUCAACAUGACCCUUCUUCUUACAAUGCUGACAUACAGUUUCUGGAUUAAACUAGCACUUUUCUUCUAGAUGACCAACCCUUCUGCAGUGCUUGCAAGUCUGACCUUCUCUCCUUGCAGCAUCAUUCUUUGGCUUGUCUCUCCAGGCCUUCUUGCCUUUAUAGGCAGUGUUUAUUCUUUCCUGAAAGGCACCUUCUUGAUGCUCCUCCAGCCUGCUUGCUCUCCUCUACUCUUGAGCAUAUAGAGCAUUGAUCAACUCUGUCAGGGAGAUGGUGGACAGAUCCCUUGAGUCCUCGAGAGAUGAGAUUUUUGCCUCAUACCUCUCAGGCAGAGUUGCUAUAACCUUCUCCACUAUCCUAGCUUCAUUGAACUGCUCUCUAAGGAGCCUGAUGCUGUUAACCACAGCCAUAAUCCUGUCAGAAUAUUGCUUGACAGUUUCUUCUUCCUUCAUCUUCAAAUUCUCGAAAUCUCUCCUCAAGUUCAACAACUGUUGCUGCCUUGUCAUCUCUGUCCCUUGAAACUCUUCCUGCAACUUGUCCCAGGUCUGUUUUGGUGAUUCACAGGCCAUAAUCCUUGUGAAAAUCACAUCAGACACUGAGUUCUAGAUGCGAGACAUGGCUUUGUGCCUCUUGGUCCUCUCAUCAGCAUGCUGCCUGAUCUGAGCCACUGUUGGAUUGCCUCUAAGUGGUUCUGGUUCAACAUCUGAGUUGACCACCUCCCACAGAUCGUAUGCCUGCAGGUAGGUCUUCAUUUUGACCACCCAUAUGUGAUAGCCUUCUCCAUUGAAUACUUGAGGUGCAGCUGGUGAAAAGCUUGAUGAAGCCAUGUAUUUGUAUAACAGAUCCCUUAAGAAAUAGGCUCUAGAUACCAAUUGUUGGUGCUGUAACUGAAACUAACAGACUCAGCACAGACUUGUCGAGCAAGUCUCGAGACUUGCUGAGCAAACAAGAGAAUUCGAGCAAAAGAAAGGAAGAAAAGCUAAGAAAAAAUGAAUAGGAAAAUUGAUGAACAAAAAAGAACUAUAUUCAUAAAAUUGAAUAAUGGCAUAAUGCCAAUACAUAAACCAAGCACUAAGCUUGUCAAAAACAGCAAGUAAUUACCUAAACAUCACCUACUCCCACUAAUUACAUGGAAACUUGAAAUUUUAGCUUGUAAACCUAUACAAAGUUGUGUUUACAGCUCAUACAUAAGCUAAUUACAUCAGUCAACAACCUAACUUAGUUAGAAAUGAACUAAGAUUACAUUUCAUUGACUAGAAAUUACAAAAUAAACAAAAUAAGCUUCCAUCAGCAGCUCCUGCAUGUCUUGGUCUUCAUGGCCUGCAUGCUGUCGAGUUUGCUGCAUGCUGAACCAACUUCAUCAGACCCUUUUUCUUUUCAUGUUAUUAGGGAAGAAUUUUGUUUAUUGGAAGGGUGCUCGAGCAGAAUUGGUGAUUUCAGAGCCUGAAUUAGUCAAAGAGGUUCUGAAAAAUAGUGAACAAAUUUUUCAGAAAAAGAAACUUUCAGAUAUUGGUAGGAAGUUCUUGGGGGAAUGGUCUUAUUUUCAUUGAGGGGGAAAAAUGGGCAAAGCAUCGAAAGCUGGCCAAUCACACUUUCCAUGGGGAAAGCCUAAAGGUAAGUCUUCUAAAUAUAUAAACUAGGUGUAAUUAAUUUACAAGAAUUAUACAUAGACUACAAUAUUUUGGUAAAAUUGUGUAUUGUUAGCUAAGGAUAAGUUUAUUAUGGGCGUUGAAAAAGUGUAGUAAAAACAUACUUUUGAAAAAUUUAACACCAUUUACUACUUAGGAGGUCAAUUUUAAACUUGAUGUUCUAAAAUAAAAGAUUGAAUCAGAAAUUUUAAAAAAAAAGUAAUUUCAUUAAAAAGCACUCUUUUAGCUUUUUGACUUGGAUUAAAAUCUAGUUUGAAAAGGUGUUUAUUUGUCAAAUUGUUUAAUUUGAAAUCAUGAUUUUGUGUUGAAAAGUGUUUUUCUGACUCCAAUUAUAUAUGUCACUACUACUUACAUAUAGGAGGAUUGUUUGGGCAGAACAUGACUCCAGCAAUAAUUGCUAGUGUUGAAACAAUGCUAGAAAAGUGGAAAGGCCAAUAAGGCAAAGAGAUUGAACUGUACCAAGAAUUUAGGUUAUUAACUUCAGAAGUGAUUUCCAGAACAACAUUUGGUAGCAAUUACAUGGAAGGGGAGAAGAUUUUUGCCAUGUUAGACAAGUCGACAAUAAUUGUGAGUCAAAAUCUUUCUAAGACUAGAAUUCCUUUGAUCAGGUAUCUUCCCUCUAAGCUUAAUUAAUCCCAACUUUUACCUUGAUUUCAACUAGCUUUUGAAUGCAACUUUUAGACUUUCAUUCCCCCUGGAUUUGGUUUUCUCCUUAUAUAUAGCUGACCCUGGUUUGCUUUUGCAGCAAGUUGUGGAAAUCUGCUGAUUUGCUAGAGUCUGAAAAACUUUCAAAAGAAAUAAAAGAUCGUCUGAUGAAGAUUGUUAAGAAAAGAGAAGACAAAGUUGUGAAUGGAGAAGUCAAUAGCUUCCGCAGUGAUUUUUUUGGAUUACUUCUAAAUACCUAUCAUGAUUCGGAUGAGAAAAACAGGAUUUCAUUGGAAGACUUGGUAGCUGAAUGCAAAACAUUCUAUUUUGCUGGACAAGAAACUGUUAAUUCCUUACUUGCAUGGAGAUUGGCAAGAAAAAGCGAGAAGAGAGGUGGUUGACAUAUUUGGUAACCAAAAUCCACAUCUCGAAGGCAUCGCCAAACUCAAAAUAGUAAGAAAACUAUCUAACUGGGAAUUCAAAUAGCCAUCGACAUGAUGUAAUCUGACAUAUUUUUCUAUUUUCCAAACAGAUGACCAUGAUCAUCAAUGAAACUCUAAGAUUGUAUGGUCCAACAGGUGUCCUCCAAAGAACAGUUACAAGAGAAAUUCAGUUGGGAAAGCUACUCUUGCCUGCUAAUAUAGAUAUUCUGCCUUUAAAUAUUGGACUUCACCGUGACCCUCACUUUUGGGGAAAUGAUGUGCACCAUUUUAAACCUGAGAGAUUCGCUGAAGGGAUUGCCAAAGCUACCAAUUACACCGCGGCUGCCUUUUUCCCCUUCGGAUUAGGACCUCGAUCUUGUGUUGGUAUGACAUUUGCAAUGAUAGAAACCAAGAUUGCUCUCUCCAUGAUUCUACAACGCUACACCAUUACCCUUUCCCCUGCCUAUGUCCACUCUCCAAUACUUAUUCUCACCCUUCGACCCCAAAAUGGAAUUCA